AUUGCUUCUUGGCCUUUUGGCUAAGAUCAAGUAGGUAUCUGUUCUUAUCAGUUUAAUAUCUGAUACAUCCUCUAUUCAAUUGGACCCCUAGCCUGGGAACCUCCACGUGCUGCGGGUGCAGCCCUAAAAAGACAAAAAAAAAUUAUAGUUGACACCUAAUUAUUAUUUAUUUAUUUAUUUGUUUGUUUGUUUUUUAGGGCCUCACCCAAGGCAUAUGGAAGUUCCCAGGCUAGUGGUUGAACUGGAGCUCCAGCUCCAGCCUACCCCAC
RNAcentral lists this small nuclear RNA (269 nucleotides) under Catagonus wagneri (Chacoan peccary). RNAcentral describes it as "U2 spliceosomal RNA (ENSCWAG00000020811.1)". It matches the Rfam family "U2 spliceosomal RNA". Rfam says of the family: U2 is a small nuclear RNA (snRNA) component of the spliceosome (involved in pre-mRNA splicing). Complementary binding between U2 snRNA (in an area lying towards the 5' end but 3' to hairpin I) and the branchpoint sequence (BPS) of the intron results the bulging out of an unpaired adenosine, on the BPS, which initiates a nucleophilic attack at the intronic 5' splice site, thus starting the first of two transesterification reactions that mediate splicing. The record is from Rfam by way of RNAcentral. Lineage: Eukaryota; Metazoa; Chordata; Mammalia; Artiodactyla; Tayassuidae.